Molecule: ribosomal RNA, 445 nt
Filed under: uncultured bacterium
Lineage: Bacteria
Description: partial 16S ribosomal RNA
Rfam family: Bacterial small subunit ribosomal RNA
Source: RNAcentral
GUGAGGAAUAUUGCGCAAUGGAGGCAACUCUGACGCAGCCAUGCCGCGUGCAGGAAGAAGGCGCUACGCGUUGUAAACUGCUUUUAACCGGGAAGAAACCCCAGGACGUGUCCUGGGUUGACGGUACCGGAGGAAUAAGCACCGGCUAACUUCGUGCCAGCAGCCGCGGUAAUACGAAGGGUGCAAGCGUUAUCCGGAUUUAUUGGGUUUAAAGGGUGCGUAGGCGGAGCGUUAAGUCAGUGGUGAAAUCCUGCAGCUUAACUGUAGACUUGCCAUUGAUACUGGCGCUCUUGAGUGAGCUUGAAGUGGGCGGAAUGUGCCGUGUAGCGGUGAAAUGCUUAGAUAUGGCACAGAACACCAAUUGCGAAGGCAGCUCACUAAGGCGAUACUGACGCUGAGGCACGAAAGCGUGGGGAUCGAACAGGAUUAGAAACCCUAGUAGUCC